This 201-nucleotide ribosomal RNA is filed under the name uncultured bacterium. RNAcentral describes it as "partial 16S ribosomal RNA". It matches the Rfam family "Bacterial small subunit ribosomal RNA", at positions 328 to 539 of the family's 1533-position model. The record is from RNAcentral.
ACGCUCGACACCUACGGGAGGCAGCAGUGGGGAAUAUUGGGCAAUGGGCGCAAGCCUGACCUAGCAACGCCGCGUGAAGGAAGAAGGCUUUCGGGUUGUAAACUUCUUUUGUCAGGGAACAGUAGAAGAGGGUACCUGACGAAUAAGCUCCGGCUAACUACGUGCCAGAAGCCGCGGUAAUCUGAGGCGGGCUGGCAAGGC